This 254-nucleotide ribosomal RNA is filed under the name uncultured bacterium. RNAcentral describes it as "partial 16S ribosomal RNA". It matches the Rfam family "Bacterial small subunit ribosomal RNA", at positions 8 to 269 of the family's 1533-position model. The record is from RNAcentral.
AGAGUUUGAUCAUGGCUCAGGAUGAACGCUGGCGGCGUGCCUAACACAUGCAAGUCGAGCGAACCCUUCGGGGUGAGCGGCGGACGGGUGAGUAACGCGUGGGGUAACCCUGCCCCUGUACACACGGAUAAACAUACCGAAAGGUAUGCUAAUACGAGAUAAUAUGUAAUGAUCGCAUGGUCGAUACAUCAAAGCUCCGGCGGUACAGGAUGGACCCGCGUCUGAUUAGCUAGUUGGUGAGGUAAUGGCUCACC